CUUGCUCAAGCUGUUUUCGCUCCGGGACGAUCACACUUUUUCACAGCUCAGAUUGGCAUGUUGGUGAACUUAUUAGCUUAGAUUUCACGUUAUUCAUGCCUACAUGAGCUGCAUACAACUGCUCUAAUCGGUAGGAUGUGGACGGACAUUGCAUUCAUUCCCAUUCAGCCGUUGGACUGAACCUGUACUGUCUGUAACACAGUAUGGAUGGUCAAUAUGAAGCGAGCUUCAUUGAAUUCCUCCAAGAGCUCUGUACUCCGUUCUGAUCAUUUUGAAGAUGGUUGCUUUGACAGGACUGGGCAAGUGACUCGUCUUAGACAGGAUGCUGUCCCAACCAUGUUUGAUUUCCUGCCUCGUCUUCAGAAGAAUUCACCCAAGCCAAGGAAUUCCCCGAAAGAAAGACGUUUUGAUUCAGCAAACAACCUCCCAGAUACUGCAAAGUCUUCAGCACCUUCAUUUCUCGAGGACCACUCCUACUCAAUAUCAGAAAGUCCAAGAGGGGUAAAGUGGAAGAUAACAGCAAUAAUGGACUGUAUUAAGAACUUGGAGAAGAGGCUGAAAACCACACACGAGAAGUCCUGCCGUGUACAUUACUUGCUCUUAAGUUUGGACAAACAUUACUUGCAAAACUUUACAACAAAUAAUUACCCCAAUGUGCAUUCUGAUUAUUUAAAAUAGCUCAAUGAAAUAGUUUAUCAGUGGGCAUGUAACAAAAGUGAAUUCAUUAAAUUUGAACGUGUUGCAAAAAUGAUGUCUUACAGUAUAUUCAUUCUGACUUAGAAUGUCAGAAGAGAAAAAAGUUUGUGAAAAGUAGGAAUGACAGCAAGAUGACAGAAGAAUAGAACAGGAUAGAGCAAGGGGGACAGAUAAAGGACAAGUCCACCCCAAAAAUUGUUGAUAUGAAUAAAAAGAGAAAAAUCCAACAAGCAUAACACUGAAAAUUUGAUAAAAAAUCGGAUGUAAAAUAAGAAAGUUAUGACAUUUAAAAAUUUUGCUAAAUUUUACAAAAGAGUUAUAUGCACAUUCUGUACACAGUCAGUAUGCAAAUGAGGAGACUGAUGACGUCAUCCACUCACUAUUUCAUUUGAUAUAUAGAAUAAGGUAUAUUCUAAUUUUCUCCUUGUCAUGUUAAACAAAAUUUUAUUCCUCCCUGAUCAUGUGGAAUUAGCAUUAUUCAAUACUUUUUUGGUUCAGUAAAGUUUGUCCUUAUGGUAAAAUCUGUAAAAAAUGAAAUAUUGUAUAAUUCAAACAAUAAAAAACAAAAUAAACAGUGAGUGAGGGACAUUAUCGACUGUCUCAUUUGCAUGUCACUGAGUUGUGAAUAUUUUUGUUUUGUGAAAAAUAAGUGAAAAUUUAAAAUGCCAUAACUUUCUUA
Long non-coding RNA from Lytechinus pictus (painted urchin), 1375 nucleotides. RefSeq lists it as uncharacterized. The transcript has 3 exons. The record is from RefSeq and is a predicted model, not a curated record. NCBI's taxonomy places the organism in Eukaryota, Metazoa, Echinodermata, Echinoidea, Temnopleuroida, Toxopneustidae.